Molecule: ribosomal RNA, 253 nt
Filed under: uncultured bacterium
Lineage: Bacteria
Description: partial 16S ribosomal RNA
Rfam family: Bacterial small subunit ribosomal RNA
Source: RNAcentral
UACGUAGGGUGCGAGCGUUGUCCGGAAUUAUUGGGCGUAAAGAGCUUGUAGGCGGUUUGUCGCGUCUGCUGUGAAAAUCCGGGGCUCAACUCCGGACUUGCAGUGGGUACGGGCAGGCUAGAGUGUGGUAGGGGAGACUGGAAUUCCUGGUGUAGCGGUGAAAUGCGCAGAUAUCAGGAGGAACACCGGUGGCGAAGGCGGGUCUCUGGGCAACAACUGACGCUGAGGAGCGAAAGCGUGGGGAGCGAACAGG